Non-coding RNA from Desulfuromonas soudanensis, 75 nucleotides. NCBI's taxonomy places the organism in Bacteria, Pseudomonadati, Thermodesulfobacteriota, Desulfuromonadia, Desulfuromonadales, Desulfuromonadaceae. The record is from Rfam.
UCCGAUAAGGGCUAACCCGGAGCAAUCCGGGGGCGCAGAGCCAAGGGUCCCACUGGGACAGCCGAGCUGCCGAAG